This is a non-coding RNA of Corylus avellana, 2601 nucleotides long. NCBI's taxonomy places the organism in Eukaryota, Viridiplantae, Streptophyta, Magnoliopsida, Fagales, Betulaceae. The record is from RefSeq and is a predicted model, not a curated record.
CUCUCUCUCUCUCUCUCUCUCAGACGGUGGUGGUGAAACUCAUCGGCGUCGGUUCACUGGGUUAGGAAACAAAAGUGGUUUGGGUCAGACGGAGGUUUUGCUCAAAAGAUGCUGGCGGUUUGGCUCUCUCUCUCCCUCACAGAUGCUCUCUCUUCCCCUCUUUGAGGUCUCUCUCUCAGACGGUGACGGUGACGGUGAAACUCACCGGCGUCGGUUGACUGGGUUCGGAAACGAAGGUGGGUUUCGGUCCGACGGAGGUUUUGCUGGUUGAGCACCGAUUGGGCAUGGGGAGAAACUUUCUGUCAUGGCCGAAUGGGCAAGUUUGGGGGCUGGGUUUCUUUUGCUCCACUAGUUUGAUUUUGCUUCACUGAAUUGGUUGGAAAAUUUUGCUCCAAAGGAAACAUUUUUGCUUCCCAUUCAGUUCAUAGAAAAAAUCGAAGGAAAGAUCAAAACAAACCAACAGAAAAUCAACCCAACUCACUUCAACCACCAAGUUUUUUCCCCAUGUGAAUGCAAGAAAAUGGGUUUUUCCUUUAUAUGAAGAUUAGAUUUUUCUUUAUUUAUGAUUUAAUUGCCUAAAUGGGUUUGCUUUGGUUUUUGUUUUGAUUUGGGUUUGGAUUUGUUUGUUUGUCUACAAUUGGUGGUUGUUUUGUUUGAUUUCAAAAAUGGGUAAGAAUUUUAGGGCUUUUAAGUUAUGAUUUUGAAAUGAAAUUUGAUUUUUUGGUAAGUGUUCUCCCCUGCCUUCAGAUUACUGAAGUGAGGUUUACCAUUAAUUCUCCUUUGGAUCAAUUCUUUCUCCAUUCCCUUUAGUUUCAAGCAUUUGUGUCUAUUAUAUAUAAGUGUUGCUACACCACUGUGAGCAGGUGUUUGCAAUUUGCUUAACGUGAAGUUUUACCAAAAAAAAAAAAAGCAGACUUAUUUUGCUUGAGGUAGAAGAGAUGGAAGUAUUGACACACCGUGGUUAUUGGAGAGGCAACCCAAAGCAAUAGCAAAGGAGAAGACAAUUUUCUGUUACACUGUGUACCUAAUUGUCUUUUACCUUCCUUGUUUGUAUUUUUAGGUUAUUCCUUCAUUCUAACAGGAAAACUUUAUAUUCAAAGGAGUGAUUCUUUUCCAUGUUGAAACUUGUAACAUGUAGAUGUAGUUCUCAUAUAGAGAUGUUAAUUGGAUAUUUUGAUGCAACACGAUAGCGAGGGAGGGAGGGAAGGAGAGAGAGCAUCUUCUGAGUAUCUUUUCUUUAAAAACAAAAUAAUAAAAAAACCUAACUGUAGUUGGCUUAACUACGGCCACAUAGGCAACUCUGGAUUUCCCCCGGAUUUUUCCAUUGCGCAAAGCAUUACUCCAGAAAAAUACCUUACUUCUUCUUUUUUUUUUUUCUUCACACUCUUCUUUGACAGAAAAAGAUCAAAAAAAGGAUUUGCUAUCUUGAUUUUCUCUCAAAAUUCCUCUCAAUUUUCUCAUUCUCCAACACCAAACCGAAUGACGAUUUCUUCUACCAAUCCCGUUUCUUAUUAGCCGUUUCAGUCUCAAAUAAGCUAUUAUAACCGCGAGUAGAGAUGAACAGAGUGAGAGAAGACGAGUCCUAGAGAUCGAGUUUUCAGGUUUGGGUUGUUGAUGGCUAUGGGUGCCCUUUCGUAGGAGACGAAAUGUUUUAGUGCUCUGAAGACGCCAUGCCGGCGGGGUUGUCUCCCUCCAGAAACGAAGGUGGUGGUCUCUGCCGGGGGUUGUCUUGCUCAGAAAACGUCGGCGAUUUGACUCCAGCUCCAGCUCUCUCAACAGAUUCGGCAGUUGGGCUCCGACAACGGCGGUUUGGGUUCGGUUAGUUGGGAACUUGCUUCUGCUUUGAAAGAAUCCAAACAGAGAUUUGAUGCAGUGGGUGUGAAAUUAGUUGCUGUUGGUGUUGGCACUCCUAAUAAAGCUCGGAUUCUCGCUGAUUGGCUGCUAUUCGUGAGCAAUCAUCAACAAAGAACAGGAGUAAGUGAAAGUAUCUCAUUUUGUGCUACAUUUUCCACUGAGUACAUCUUGUAGGAAUAUUAUUGCCAUCAAUGACAUCAACCUGUGACAAUAUAUUUGCCAUGUUUACCUCAUUUUUGUCAUUAAAAUUGACUUCAACCAGUGCAGCAAUCUCAAGUAAAACAAGAAUAAGGUGGACUCAGGAUCUUCAUGAGAAGUUUGUUGAGUGUGUUAAUCGCCUUGGGGGUGCUGAAAGCAAGCAAUUUGAUAAAGGAUUUGUCAAAAUAUUCAAAAAGAAAGAAAUCCAUCGUUUUCUGACAAUUUCUCUAAUGAUCGACUGUAGAGGCAACGCCAAAGACAAUACUGAAGUUGAUGGACUCAGAUGGAUAGACCAUUUUUCACGUGAAAAGUCAUCUCCAGAAAUACCGAAUUGCAAAAUACAUGCCAGACUCAAUAGAAGUGAAUUUACCACCGCUUGCACUCUUUUGGCUUAGGUUACAUUAUAGUUGGUAAAUUUUUGAAUGUAUUCACCUAGAGAUGUAAUCUGACGAGGAAGACUCAGUUUUUCAAUUCGUUUUGAGAAUGAUUGUUAUGUUUAAACAAUUUGGCACUCGGGAGUGCAUUUGAGUAAUCUCUUGUUUUUUCUUA